RNAcentral lists this ribosomal RNA (407 nucleotides) under uncultured bacterium. RNAcentral's name for it is "partial 16S ribosomal RNA". It matches the Rfam family "Bacterial small subunit ribosomal RNA", at positions 30 to 526 of the family's 1533-position model. The record is from RNAcentral.
AUUGAACGCUGGCGGCAGGCCUAACACAUGCAAGUCGAGCGGAGCGGCGGACGGGUGCGUAAUGCCUAGGUAUCUGCCUGGUAGUGGGGGAUAACGUAAGGAAACGGGCGCUAAUACCGCUUACUAUCAGAUGAGCCUAGGUCGGAUUAGCUAGUGGGUGGGGUAAGGGCCUACCAGGGCGACGAUCCGUAACUGGUCUGAGAGGAUGAUCAGCCACACUGGAACUGAGACACGGUCCAGACUCCUACGGGAGGCAGCAGUGGGGAAUAGUGGACAAUGGGCGAAAGCCUGAUGCAGCCAUGCCGCGUGUGUGAAGAAGGUCUUCGGAUUGUAAAGCACUUUAAGUUGGGAGGCGUUACCAACAGAAGAAGCACCGGCUAACUUCGUGCCAGCAGCCGCGGUAAUAC